AUACGGAGGGUGCGAGCGUUAAUCGGAAUUACUGGGCGUAAAGCGCGCGUAGGCGGUUUGUUAAGUUGGAUGUGAAAGCCCCGGGCUUAACCUGGGAGGGUCAUUCAAAACUGGCAGACUAGAGUGUGGUAGAGGGUAGUGGAAUUCCUAGUGUAGCGGUGAAAUGCGUAGAGAUUAGGAGGAACACCAGUGGCGAAGGCGACUGCCUGGACCAACACUGACGCUCAGGUGCGAAAGCGUGGGUAGCGAACAGGAUUAGAUACCCGGGUAGUCC
Molecule: ribosomal RNA, 274 nt
Filed under: uncultured bacterium
Lineage: Bacteria
Description: partial 16S ribosomal RNA
Rfam family: Bacterial small subunit ribosomal RNA
Source: RNAcentral